GCUGCAGCACAGGGAACAGGAGGUUCGAAAGAAGUGUGCCCUCUGUUCCUCUUCCUGACAUAGCAAUAUGAAUGCAGAAGCGUCGCAUGCUGCUAAAGUCAUGUUUUUAAAUUAAUACUAACCCCACUGUAAGUGUGUGGUGGGUGAAGUCCUGCUCCUUGCAUUCACACUUGACACGAGACUGAGAUCCAGGCUUUCAUUCAUACAUUCAAGGCCAAGUCAGCAAGCUUCUAGUGCCCACAUUGUGUUCAGGGGGUGUUCACACACCAGCAGCUCCCAGCUGAGUCCUGUGGACAUCUUUAUGCUGAUAUUCACUAAGAGAACAAAGUGGCAGAGAAAAAUCUGAGGUCUUGUCAAAGAAGAUCCUGGACUCGAUAAGAAAUUAGUGGAGGUGACACUGGCAGGGGCAGUGGGAGAUCUGAGUUAACUCCUUGUUCUGCUCCAGACAUUCAAAACAUCCUGGACAGGCCAUUUUAUGUCAGCUUCCUGUAUGAAACAGGAUCAUAAGAACAAUUUUAGGCCUGCCAUACUGCCAUCAUUCUAUAGCAUGGCAUAGUGCACUGACGACCGUGGUGAUGGGGGACACAUCAGUGGAAAUAUAUCACGGGAAUGUGAGAACAAUCAUCCUGCUGAACUACAGCCAGCAAAGUAUGCCUAUAAAACUCUCUGCUCUUCAGCAGAAUGACUGAAAAAAUGAAUAAUUUCAUUCAAAAAUGAUUAUACUUAUUUUCAACAAAUAAGUUGCAUGAGGGAAGGUGAGGAUUGUUCUUUUUUAUUUUUUAUUUUUUUUAAUUAUUAUUAAUUUCUUAACUAUAAAAACAGGGAAAGUACAUCUUGAAACCCAUAUUCGUCUACUCACCAUACUACAACAGUAAAUUUGAAUAGUUCUUCAAAGUGUUACUAUAAAAUUGUUUUUAAAAGUGACAAGUAAAUAAACAUAUUCUAUUUUCUCCUGAAGCCUACUAU
Molecule: long non-coding RNA, 966 nt
Filed under: Anas platyrhynchos platyrhynchos (common mallard)
Lineage: Eukaryota; Metazoa; Chordata; Aves; Anseriformes; Anatidae
Description: lncRNA (ENSAPLG00000022260.1)
Source: RNAcentral